UCCGAGUUGUCCCCGGCAGUCCCUCUAGAGUCCCCGGCAUUACCCGCUGGCAACUAAAGGUAGGGGUUGCGCUCGUUGCGGCACUUAAGCCAACACCUCACGGCACGAGCUGACGACAGCCAUGCAGCACCUGUGCUAGCCCCAAAAGGACACGGGCUUUCACCCGCUUUAACUAGCAUGUCAAGCCUAGGUAAGGUGGGGAUGACGUAUCUGUACCAUAGA
This 222-nucleotide unclassified non-coding RNA is filed under the name uncultured Actinomycetes bacterium. RNAcentral describes it as "uncultured actinobacterium contains 16S-23S intergenic spacer region". Lineage: Bacteria; Bacillati; Actinomycetota; Actinomycetes. The record is from RNAcentral.